AGAGUUUGAUCCUGGCUCAGGAUGAACGCUGGCGGUAUGCUUAACACAUGCAAGUCGAACGAAUCCCUUCGGGGAUGAGUGGCGGACGGGUGAGUAACGCGUGAAAAUUUACCAAAAGGACUGGGACAACCACUGGAAACGGUGGCUAAUACCGGAUGAGCCGAAAAGUAAAAAGGGAAACCUGCCUUUUGAAGAGCUCGCGUCUGAUUAGCUAGUUGGUGAGGUAAGAGCUCACCAAGGCAGCGAUCAGUAGCUGGUCUGAGAGGAUGACCAGCCACACUGGGACUGAGACACGGCCCAGACUCCUACGGGAGGCAGCAGUGGGGAAUUUUCCGCAAUGGGCGAAAGCCUGACGGAGCAAUACCGCGUGAGGGAAGAAGGCUCUUGGGUCGUAAACCUCUUUUAUCAGGGAAGAAAAAAAUGACGGUACCUGAAGAAUCAGCCUCGGCUAACUCCGUGCCAGCAGCCGCGGUAAUACGGAGGAGGCAAGCGUUAUCCGGAAUUAUUGGGCGUAAAGCGUCCGCAGGUGGCUUAUCAAGUCUGCUGUCAAAGAGUGGGGCUUAACCCCAUUAAGGCAGUGGAAACUGAGAAGCUAGAGUGCCGUAGGGGUAGAGGGAAUUCCCGGUGUAGCGGUGAAAUGCGUAGAGAUCGGGAAGAACAUCGGUGGCGAAAGCGCUCUACUGGACGGCAACUGACACUCAGGGACGAAAGCUAGGGGAGCGAAUGGGAUUAGAUACCCCAGUAGUCC
Molecule: ribosomal RNA, 748 nt
Filed under: uncultured bacterium
Lineage: Bacteria
Description: bacterial SSU rRNA
Rfam family: Bacterial small subunit ribosomal RNA
Source: RNAcentral